UCAAUUCUCGAGUCUUAAACAGUUCGCAAACAAUUCGAUUUAUUUACGGGUCCGCAAGCCUACGUGCUCCUCCUUGACCUCUGCAUCAUCUUGUCCGGCGUGGUAACAAGAUUCGUGUCUUGUUAAGUUCCCAAGACAGAACUUCAACUUCCAAAAUUCACACAGAAUUUCACAGUUUUCCAAAGAUCCCCCACCUACCUAAUGACCAAAACGCCCUUAUGUCACACCACUCGACCGAACUGCUGCAACAUGUGAAGAGAAGGUCAAAACAAGGAAUAAAAAACCAAAGGGAAAGCCAUGACCCUACAAAUGAAAGCCUUUGGGCAAAACCCAGAGUUUCAUAACCCAGAAUGAAUGAAAGAGGCUUUAAACCAGAGAGAGAGAGAUAGGGAAGUUUCUGAGGGUGGUUGCCCUCUCUCUCUCUGUACACAAAAAAUCAAGCCGAUGAUUUCAUCUCACACAAAAUCAACAACAGCCCUUCGGGUGCGUGCGUCUGAUAUCAUCAGAUUCAUCUGGCUGGCUGUCUUUCUGAUCUCUGUUUGGAACUGGAAGUACAACCAUAUCUAUGGAGUAUAUAUAUAUAAGUACAUACAAACAUAUAGCUAGCUAGCUGCAUGCAUCUCUUUCUCUCUGUGUUGAGAGGAGAGAGAUUCUUGAUCAUGACCAGCUACUAUCACCAUCAUCAUCCCCAUCAAAACUCCACUCCUAAGAGGCUGUGAUGGUUACAUUUUCUGGGUUCAGAUCAGGCGUUGGGAUCCGACCCGUAUCGUGGCGGGGCAACCCGGAGGCCCGCGGAGAGAGGGUUUUUUCUCUCUCGUGUCAGGUAACUGCGUUUGCAGCCAUGGCGGUGUCGCUUUGUCGCCUGAUUUUCAUUCACAGAUCUGAGCCUCACCUUUGAUUCGGUAACAUUUGGGCACCGUUUCUUGGCGGGGCAACCCGGAGGCCUGCGGAGAGACAUUUCUCCCUCAGGUAACUGUGUUUGCAGCCAUGGCGGCGUCACUUUGUUGCCUGAUUUUCAUUCACAGAUCUGAGUCUCACCUUUGAUUCGGUAACAUUUGAGCACGGUUUGGAUUUUGAAAAUGAUAAUUAUGUAGUGUUUAUAAGUGUGUCUAGUAAGGUCAAACGUGUGCACGACUGGAAUUUUCCCGAUAAAUAUGAGGAAAUCCUCCGAGUGAGAACAUGGUGAGCUCGAUUCUCACUUAAGUUAUCUUUGAGUAAAGUUGAAUAGCUUAGGUUGUGGAUGGUUUGAACCCCUAGACCUCGCCUUAAGUUAAAUUUCCAUUAAACCGUUUCUUGGUGGGGCAACCCAGAGGCCUGCGGAGAGACAUUUCUCUCUCAGGUAACUGUGUUUGCAGCCACGGUGGUGUCACUUUGUCGCCUGAUUCCUAUGAUUCGGUAACAUUUGGGCAUGAUUUGGAUUUUGAAAUUGCUAAUUAUGCAGUGUAUACAAGUGUCUAGUGAGAUCAAACGUGUGCGCGACUUGAAUUUCUCCUUUAAAUUUGAGGAAAUGAAUUUGAGAGUAUGAGGCUAAUAAGUGGAGAGGAGUGUUUCUAUAAUUAGAUGGUGGUUGGUCAUCCUUAAUGAUCAGGUCAUAAAAACCGAUAUUUCAAAUAAACAAAAUCGACAGCCUUUUUUCUUCUUGAUAACUCAGGAUGUUCGGGUCACUAUUAGGCACCUUGGCGAUCGCCUGGGGACCGAGCCUACUGUCCACUAGUGGGGUCCCCAAAUAAAGCCUGGCAUGGACAAAUCCACAAGAGUUGGUAGCCCGGUUUCGAACCUGAGACCUUGGUAGGAAUCCUUUGUUUGUGUGGACAGUGGAGAUACAUAUCUAUGUGUGUGUCUGUGGUUGGACAUUGGUUUAUGACUAAGGGCCCGUUUGUUCCGUCUUACUUAUUAGAUUGUUCACUACUCUUUUUACCUUUUGUACUCUUUUUUGUAUCCAUCCAUCCAUUUGAAAAUAGCCACUCACUACCCUAUUUGAUUAUUCCCUCUUUCUUCCCUUUUAUGCUGUUGUUGAGAGGGUCUUGAUUCAUUGAUAUGUACCUGAACCUUGAAUAUGGAUAAUUUCCUCAAUUAUAAGAGGUUGCGAUGUUAUUAUUCUCAGUUCAUAUGUUGAGAAGAUGGACCCAUUUCAUGGCAGGGCAACUGAUGUUGCAGCUAUGGUGGGAAAACCCUUACCUUCUAUGAUAAAAAUACAGAUCCGAGCCUCACCUUUUCCAUCAACUUGUUGACGCAUUUCAUGGGAGCUUGUGAUUCUGAGGCAAUGAUAGAAAUAUAAUUUGCAUAUAAAAGCUCCUCAAACAACUCUGGAAAACUGUUUUGGAUCAAUGUCAUAGAUUUUGGGGGUCAGAGAUUUUGGGGUUGGUUCUGAUUCUGAUCGAUUAGUUAUUUGGGUAAGACUGACGUGUAUAUUCUUGGGACAAGUACAUUAAAACCUUUGCAUUUGAUCCGUAUCUCAAAUUAAACCCAGUGCCAACUCCCAAAGAGAAGGAGAGGGAGAAGUGUACUUGUUUUUAUCGUUGCCGGAGAAGUGUACCUGUUCGAUUUGGGAUUUGGGUUGCUUCAGAAACUGAACUCAGAAAAUGAUGCUAAUAAGCAGAGAGAAGGGUUGUUUCUGAGGGUGGUUGCCCCUCUCUGUGAAAAAGACAAUCUUGAUCAGAUCAUCAAGCCUAUGAUUUUAGUUCCAUCCAUAAAAUCAACAGCCCUUCAGUUCCAUUUAAGGGUGCGUGCGUUUGUCGUUUCCUUAUUCUUUUUUUGUUGCUGCUGCUAAUGAUGAUAUAUCAAUACAUAGAUAGACAGAUAGAUAGAGAGAGUAGUUUGAGAAAUUGAACUCAAAGAAUGAGGCUCCAGUGGUGAGAAGGGAUGUUUCUAAGAGUGGUUGCUCCUCACUGUAAUUUGAUGAUCAUUAUCCCUUAAUCAGAUCACCAAAGCCUGUGAUUUUAUUCGGAAAAUAGCCCUUUGCGUAUUUGUACACAUACAUGUUGAGUGUGCACAAGCAAUUUUUGACGGAGGGAGUAUGUUGGCUGUGAUGAUAUAUCUCUCGAGUUCAUGUGUUGAGGAAUUGAAACCCAGUUUUUGGCAAGGUAAACGCGGAGGGCCUGCGGGGAGACCAUAGAACUGAUGGCCUCUCUCAAUUGCGGCAACCGUUGUUGCAGUCAUGGUGGGAACACGCCUUCCUCUUCCCCUAUUGAAAUACAGAUCUGAGCCUCACCUUUUCUCUUGUCACUUGUGUGUGUGUGUGUGUGUGUGUGAGAUCAUUAUCCCUUAAUCAGAUCACCAAAGCCUAUGAUUUUGUUAAAGCAUCCAACUCAAAACCAAUUGGCAAUGAGUGGAGAGGCAGCCCAGGCUCAUAUACUAGUUUUGGAGGAGAAAAUUAACCGAUGUGGGACAAUUUCCAACAGAUUUCAUUCAAAAAACAGCCCUUUGUGUGUUUGUACGCAUAUAUGGGGAGUGUGGACAAACAAUUGGUGACGGAGGGAGUAUAUUUUUACGUAGUAUAGGAGAGGCUGUGAUGAUAUAUCUCUCGAGGUUGUGUUGAGGAAUUGGAACCCAUUUUCUUGGCGAGGCAAACACAGAGGUCCUGUGGGAGAGAAUUGAUGGUUCUCUCUUCAAGUGGGGCAACUGUUGUUGCAGCCAUGGUGGGAACAUGAUUUCCUCUUCUCCUAUCAAAAUACAGAUCUGAGCCUCAAUUUUUCCUUCUCACUUACGUGUGUGUGUGUGUGGUAUUAAAGCCACAAGGCACAUAAGGUAUGUUUUGUUGGUUGGUUCAGCAUGAUAUUAAAUGCUUUUGAACACUCCAUUGGAACAAGGGGGUAGAGGAUUACUUUCUAACUGUUAGUUAAGCUGCAUCAAACACCCACUGGAACAGCUUGCACUAAAGAAAGCAAAGAGGCUGUGAUGAUAGCUUUCUUAGCUUAUUUCAGGAUUUGAGAACCCGAUCUGCUUCAUGGUGGGGUGAUCCGGGGGAUUUGUGGGAUAGAUCUGUUUGGUUUUUCUUUCAGACUUUCACUGGCAACUGUGGUUGCAGCCAUGAAGUUUGUCAUAUCUCACCCGAUCUUUGGCAAAUCUGAGCCUCAACCUUUCUUGCAAUAGUAAAUGUGUAUGCAUUUGUAUGUAGUUGAUUGACUGUAGGAAAUCUGGGUUUAAUCGCAUCUUGGGAUUUAUAUUUAAUAUGAUGGUUUUUAUCUUGCAGGAACAAGUUUGAGUUGGAGGUGUAAUGAUGAUUCACAUGCCAUUGGUUUGAUGUUUCACUUUUAUGUUUUUUGUAUUGUAGAGAUGAAGUAAUUGAGUCAUUGGCCAUUUUUGUUACCAAAUAGUCUGCUUCUUUUUUCUUUCAACAGAAAGUUGAUUUGUCUUGUGAUUCGUAAGGAGUUGAAGUGUGUGCUUGAACCAGAGAAGACCCUAAAGUAAGGGGGAAUUUUAGAGGCAAAAUGAUAACUAAAAUCAAGAACUCAGGUUCUCUCGUCAUCGGCUCACAAAUUGGGGGGAAAAAAGGAAGAAAAGAUUGCCAUUUUAUCCUUGAAGCAACAACGCCAAAUCAUCAUAUUUUGGCUUUACAAAAUUAAAUUAUGGCAGUAUCAUACACGCUCUUUAGAAUUGGAUGAUUUCCCCUGUUUUAGCUGGACCAAAUCUAUGUCCGGUGGUUGUUUCCAGUAUCUCCUCGUGUGAAGAAGAUUGCUUAAUCUAUUAAUGUUUGUGCUCAGAGCUUUAGCACUCUACGAUGAUAUGUAUGCUAUUCUGCCGUCUUCAUCUGUUUUUAUUUUGCUUUCCAGUCUAGGUGUUUCGAUGUUGAUUUCUUGGUGGUUGAUGUGGUUGUUCCAAGAUGAGGACUACAAUAAGCUUCAUCCUUCUGUGUGAGGAAAACUAUAUGAAAAUUAUGUAUGCGUUACAAUUCCCAUGA
Rhododendron vialii is the source of this 4900-nucleotide long non-coding RNA. RefSeq lists it as uncharacterized. The record is from RefSeq and is a predicted model, not a curated record. The transcript has 2 exons. NCBI's taxonomy places the organism in Eukaryota, Viridiplantae, Streptophyta, Magnoliopsida, Ericales, Ericaceae.